ACAGUCUCCAGGCUGCAGCAUCUGGUGAGGAAGGGAAGGUGUAUGGCUGCAUUGUUUUUCUCUUGGUGUUCAACUGGAAUAGAGCAGGAAAUUGCUUUGGAGAUGAGGAAACAAACUCUUAUGGAGACCUAAGAGACUGAAGACAUCUGGCGUGGACUACUCUGAUGGAAAAAAGUCACGUGUUCAUGAUGAUCAAACACAGCUGUUUGAUUGGUGUUAAAAUGGAUCUGCCUGAUAAGACCUGGAACUGAGAACCCAAACAGAGCCUUAAGGUAAGCUCCCAAGGGAAGUGCUGGCAGUAGAUAUUCAGAGGCAUUUUGGACAGUUGGGCAAUCAGAGUGAGACUGACCCACAAGCAGGCAAAACGUGUAUGCAUU
This 377-nucleotide long non-coding RNA is filed under the name Homo sapiens (human). RNAcentral's name for it is "non-protein coding LINC00461:50". Lineage: Eukaryota; Metazoa; Chordata; Mammalia; Primates; Hominidae. The record is from RNAcentral.